UGGACAGCACUAGAAGGUGAAGAUUUCUGUUUUUCCACAGCACGGGAGGCAAGGCACUGCAAGCCUCCCUGCUUUGCCAUGUCAGCUCCCUGCAGCCCUGUUUUAGCAGGAUCACGUAAGGAGCAGGAGGGUGUCCAUACCCCUUCACACCUUGGCAAAG
This 160-nucleotide small RNA is filed under the name Lonchura striata (white-rumped munia). Its description in RNAcentral is "domestica (Bengalese finch) TUC338 (ENSLSDG00000013571.1)". The record is from RNAcentral. Lineage: Eukaryota; Metazoa; Chordata; Aves; Passeriformes; Estrildidae.